CUUGUCUCAAAGAUUAAGCCAUGCAUGUCUAAGUAUAAGCAACUAUACAGUGAAACUGCGAAUGGCUCAUUAAAUCAGUUAUCGUUUAUUUGAUAGUACCUUACUACUUGGAUAACCGUGGUAAUUCUAGAGCUAAUACAUGCUAAAAAUCCCGACCUCUGGAAGGGAUGUAUUUAUUAGAUAAAAAACCAAUGCCUUCGGGCUCCUUGGUGAUUCAUGAUAACUUAACGAAUCGCAUGGCCUUGCGCCGGCGAUGGUUCAUUCAAAUUUCUGCCCUAUCAACUUUCGAUGGUAGGAUAGUGGCCUACCAUGGUUUCAACGGGUAACGGGGAAUUAGGGUUCGAUUCCGGAGAGGGAGCCUGAGAAACGGCUACCACAUCCAAGGAAGGCAGCAGGCGCGCAAAUUACCCAAUCCCGAUUCGGGGAGGUAGUGACAAUAAAUACUGAUACAGGGCUCUUUUGGGUCUUGUAAUUGGAAUGAGUACAAUUUAAAUCCCUUAACGAGGAACAAUUGGAGGGCAAGUCUGGCC
RNAcentral lists this ribosomal RNA (530 nucleotides) under Arthrobotrys musiformis. RNAcentral's name for it is "SSU rRNA". It matches the Rfam family "Eukaryotic small subunit ribosomal RNA", at positions 31 to 568 of the family's 1831-position model. The record is from RNAcentral. Lineage: Eukaryota; Fungi; Ascomycota; Orbiliomycetes; Orbiliales; Orbiliaceae.